RNAcentral lists this small RNA (451 nucleotides) under Pan troglodytes (chimpanzee). RNAcentral's name for it is "retained intron". Lineage: Eukaryota; Metazoa; Chordata; Mammalia; Primates; Hominidae. The record is from RNAcentral.
CGGCGCCAUUGCAGUUCCGCUCUAAGGAGGUGUCCAAGAGCAACGUGGUGGACGACAUGGUGCAGAGCAACCCAGUGCUCUAUACGCCCGGCGAAGAGCCUGACCACUGCGUGCGUGGGGCACGGGCGCGGGCGCGGGGUUGCCCGGCGAGGGGUGGCAGGGACCCGGGCAAACUCCUGCUGCACUCCAGGUGGUCAUCAAGUAUGUGCCGUACGUGGGUGACAGCAAGCGCGCGCUGGAUGAGUAUACCUCGGAGCUGAUGCUGGGCGGAACCAACACACUGGUGCUGCACAACACGUGCGAGGUGCGGCGCGGCUUCAGGGGCUGCUAUGGGAGGCAGGGCUUGGCCACCGCCCCCAUCUCCUGACCCACCCGCCCCGCAGGACUCGCUGCUGGCCGCACCCAUCAUGCUGGACCUGGCGCUGCUGACCGAGCUGUGCCAGCGCGUGAG